AUUGAACGCUGGCGGCAGGCUUAAUACAUGCAAGUCGAGCGAGUGGCGGACGUGUGUGUAGCGUCUGGGAACCUGCCUGAUGGAGGGGGAUAAUUACUGGAAACGGUAGCUAAUACCGCAUACCAUCAGAUGUGCCCAGAUGGGAUUAGCUAGUAGGUGGGGUAAUGGCUCACCUAGGCGACGAUCCCUAGCUGGUCUGAGAGGAUGACCAGCCACACGGGACCUGUGACACGGCCCAGACUCCAACGGGAGGCAGCAGUGGGGAAUAUUGCACAAUGGGCGCAAGCCUGAUGCAGCAAUGCCGCGUGGAUAAAGAGGGCUUUCGGGUUGUAAAGUACUUUCAGCGGGGAGGCGGUACCCGCAGAAGAAGCACCGGCUAACUCCGUGCCAGCAGCCGCGGUAAUUC
RNAcentral lists this ribosomal RNA (406 nucleotides) under uncultured bacterium. RNAcentral describes it as "partial 16S ribosomal RNA". It matches the Rfam family "Bacterial small subunit ribosomal RNA", at positions 30 to 526 of the family's 1533-position model. The record is from RNAcentral.